Molecule: ribosomal RNA, 253 nt
Filed under: uncultured bacterium
Lineage: Bacteria
Description: partial 16S ribosomal RNA
Rfam family: Bacterial small subunit ribosomal RNA
Source: RNAcentral
UACGUAGGGGGCAAGCGUUAUCCGGAAUUACUGGGUGUAAAGGGAGCGUAGACGGUAAUGUAAGUCUGGAGUGAAAGGCGGGGGCCCAACCCCCGGACUGCUCUGGAAACUAUGUUACUAGAGUGCAGGAGAGGUAAGCGGAAUUCCUAGUGUAGCGGUGAAAUGCGUAGGUAUUAGGAGGAACACCAGUGGCGAAGGCGGCUUACUGGACUGUAACUGACGUUGAGGCUCGAAAGCGUGGGGAGCAAACAGG